This 450-nucleotide ribosomal RNA is filed under the name uncultured bacterium. Its description in RNAcentral is "bacterial SSU rRNA". It matches the Rfam family "Bacterial small subunit ribosomal RNA", at positions 354 to 796 of the family's 1533-position model. The record is from RNAcentral.
GUGGGGAAUAUUGCGCAAUGGGCGAAAGCCUGACGCAGCCAUGCCGCGUGUGUGAAGAAGGCCUUAGGGUUGUAAAGCACUUUCAAUUGGGAAGAAAGGUUGUACGUUAAUAGCGUGCAACUGUGACAUUACCUUUAGAAGAAGCACCGGCUAACUCCGUGCCAGCAGCCGCGGUAAUACGGAGGGUGCAAGCGUUAAUCGGAAUUACUGGGCGUAAAGCGCGCGUAGGCGGUUUGUUAAGUCGGAUGUGAAAGCCCUGGGCUCAACCUGGGAACUGCAUUCGAUACUGAUCGACUAGAGUACGAGAGAGGGAGGUAGAAUUCCACGUGUAGCGGUGAAAUGCGUAGAUAUGUGGAGGAAUACCGGUGGCGAAGGCGGCCUCCUGGCUCGAUACUGACGCUGAGGUGCGAAAGCGUGGGUAGCAAACAGGAUUAGAUACCCCAGUAGUCC